GACGAACGCUGGCGGUGUGCUUAACACAUGCAAGUGGUGCGAACAACCGGGGCUUUCUCUGCUGCAAAGCCGCGAACGGGUGGGUAACACAUGCGUAGUCUACCCCCCUAACAGGGACAACCCAAUGACACUCGGGCUAAUAACUGCUGUAUAACGUUGUCAUCCGUCUGUUUCCUAAAUGUAACUUGGUCUUCCUCUUUGUUAGAGGCCGACCCCCGAUUCAUUAGCUGGUUGGUGGGGUACCGGCCUACCAAGGCAACGAUGCGUAGCCGGCCUGAGAGGAUGAUCAGCCACACUGGGACUGAGACACGGCCCAGACUCCUACGGGAGGCAGCAGUGGGGAAUCUUGCGCAAUGGGCGAAAGCGUGACGCAGCAACACCGCGUGAGGGAAGAAGGUCUUAGGGUCGUAAAACUCUGUCAGAUGGGACGAAGGUUUGCCGGUGAAUAGCUGAGAGGAUUGACGGUACCUACACAAGAAGCCACGGCUAACUACGUG
This 497-nucleotide ribosomal RNA is filed under the name uncultured bacterium. RNAcentral describes it as "partial 16S ribosomal RNA". It matches the Rfam family "Bacterial small subunit ribosomal RNA", at positions 28 to 507 of the family's 1533-position model. The record is from RNAcentral.